CACGUAUUUAGCCGGGGCUUCUUGGUCAGGUAUCGUCAUUCUCUUCCCUGCUGACAGAGCUUUACAUACCGGAGUACUCCAUCGCUCACGCGGCGUCGCUGCAUCAGGGUUGCCCCCAUUGUGCAAUAUCCCCCACUGCUGCCUCCCGUAGGAGUCUGGGCCGUGUCUCAGUCCCAAUGUGGCCGUCCACCCUCUCAGGCCGGCUACUGAUCGUCGCCUUGGUCGGGCCGUUACCCCGCCAACCAGCUAAUCAGACGCGGACCCAUCCCGCACCGCACAAGGCUUUCCGCACCGCCCAUGUGGGGCUGUGCGCAUAUGCGGUAUUAGCAGCCGUUCCGGCUGUUGUCCCCAGUGCGGGUAGGUUGUCCACGUCGUUACUCACCCGUCCGCCACUCGAGUCACGAGA
RNAcentral lists this ribosomal RNA (406 nucleotides) under uncultured Eubacteriales bacterium. Its description in RNAcentral is "uncultured Clostridiales bacterium partial 16S ribosomal RNA". The record is from RNAcentral. Lineage: Bacteria; Bacillati; Bacillota; Clostridia; Eubacteriales.